GCUCUUGUAGCUCAGUUGGUUAGAACACUUGUUUAGUAAGCGGGAGGUCUUGAGUUCAACUCUAAACAAGAGCA
This 74-nucleotide transfer RNA is filed under the name Ipomoea nil (Japanese morning glory). It matches the Rfam family "tRNA". Rfam says of the family: Transfer RNA (tRNA) molecules are approximately 80 nucleotides in length. Lineage: Eukaryota; Viridiplantae; Streptophyta; Magnoliopsida; Solanales; Convolvulaceae. The record is from Rfam by way of RNAcentral.